CUUACAUUCUCCUCUAUAAGAAGACUGGCUUCAUGAUUACAAGUGCAGGUCAGAUACUGUGCACCCUGAUCUGGGCUGAAAAGGGAAUCCAUGACCAGGCUUUGGUGUGGACAUGGGGGUGAUAGGCUGUCAGACAGCUGUCCACGUGCCCCAGGGAGCUGUGUGAAGCAGAGUGACAGAGCUUCCUAUGGGUAGGAGACAGUAUGGAGAUCGUGGGAAUUGUCUUAUGUUGCCAUCCUUUGCCGGAAUCACAGGUUGGAGCCCUGGGAGCAGUAAAAAAAUUCUGGAGCCCACCAGAUCCUCACCAGUUGACACUCAGCCCGGCGUGACCACAAAUGACACAAUUCCUGCUUCCAGCCCACGGUACAUUCUGGGCAGCCUCUACUUAUGCAUCCUGGUGUUUCUGGAGUUGCCCCUGUUCCUGUGCAUGCUCUGUGCCGUCCUGUGGGUGAACAGGCCUCAGACGUGGUCUGGGAGACAAGGCAUUCAGCCCUAUUAUGAGAACCAGUGAAGUCUGUUGACAUGGAGGCCCUGUCCCUGGAUGCAUCACUCUGGUGGCCAAGGACAACCAGUAAACCUGUGUUCUUGAGAAUGCUCUGACACUCUGCACGUGUCAAACACAUAAAGAAUGUGCCCUAGGGGCUGGGGAUUUAGCUCAGUGGUAGAGCGCUUACCUAGGAAGCGCAAGGCCCUGGGUUCGGUCCCCAGCUCCGAAAAAAAGAACCAAAAAAAAAAAAAAAAAAAAGAAUGUGCCCUACAUAUACUGGCUGGAGAGAUGGCUCUGAGGUUAAGAGCACCGGCUGCUCUUCCAGAGGUUCUGAGUUCAAAUCCCAGUAACAACAUGGUGGCUCACACCCACCUGCAAUAGGAACUGAUGCCCUCUUCUGGUGUGCAGGUGCACAUGCAGAUAGUACACUCAUAUAGUAAAUAAAUUAAUUAUAAUUAAAUAAAUAGACUUAUAGUACAGUACCUUUACUUAUUCUUUGGUAAGUUCACAUUUGUGUACAACAUGACUCUAUCAUGUACACCUGCGUCCCCACCCUCCCAC
This 1048-nucleotide long non-coding RNA is filed under the name Rattus norvegicus (Norway rat). RNAcentral describes it as "long non-coding RNA NONRATT031729". The record is from RNAcentral. Lineage: Eukaryota; Metazoa; Chordata; Mammalia; Rodentia; Muridae.